This 278-nucleotide transfer-messenger RNA is filed under the name Sphingobacteriales bacterium. RNAcentral's name for it is "partial transfer-messenger RNA". It matches the Rfam family "transfer-messenger RNA", at positions 91 to 374 of the family's 374-position model. Rfam says of the family: Bacterial tmRNA, also known as 10Sa RNA or SsrA, is named for its dual tRNA and mRNA-like properties. The record is from RNAcentral. Lineage: Bacteria; Pseudomonadati; Bacteroidota; Sphingobacteriia; Sphingobacteriales.
AUGGCAAUACUCAGUAUGCCAUGGCUGCCUAAUUAUUAAUUAGACAACCAUUAGGGCCGCCGCACAGGAUUUCCUGUUUCCAUGUGCCGCCGCCGACAUCAAAAAAUUACAGGAUGCUGCGCUGGAAUGAUGUGACCAGUGCUUAAGACCAUUCUUCUAAGGACUCAGUUGGUUUGUUAUGUUCCUGCUUUGUCCCGACAAUCAAUUCAUAAAUAAACAUGUAGAAAGCUUGCGGCGAAUUUGUUUGGACACCGGUUCGAGUCCGGUCGGCUCCACCA